Daucus carota subsp. sativus is the source of this 1336-nucleotide long non-coding RNA. RefSeq lists it as uncharacterized. NCBI's taxonomy places the organism in Eukaryota, Viridiplantae, Streptophyta, Magnoliopsida, Apiales, Apiaceae. The transcript is spliced from 3 exons. The record is from RefSeq and is a predicted model, not a curated record.
UUUACAAGUAUGAUUAUUUAAUUUAAUUAUUUAUUGUGCAAAAAGGACUAUUUUAUUAGUCUCGGAUUUAAUAAGAUUUAUAAUGCGGGAAAUAUUAAGGUCGUAGUUUUAAGAAUUCUAGAAAACACGUAAUAUUAUUUGGUGUGGGCCUGUCGUUAAUUUAAAUAUGUAUAUUAACGCGAUAGCUGCGUUCAUAUGAAAGGUAUAGUAGACAUGAAUAUUUAUUUAAUGACUUGUGAAUAAAUAUUACGUUUUAGCCAAGAUGAUUAUUUCUAUUAUUUUAUAAAUUUGGGGAUUGAUUAGAAAAUAUUAAAAUAGUUAAUAAUAUACUUAUUUAAUUAUUUUGUACAAAGAUUUAAUUAUUUCAUAUUCACAAUUAUGAAAAGUAUAAAUGAAGUGGGAAUUAUUAAUAGUGAGACGGAACUUAGGGAACAAGUUACGAAACUUGGAACGCAAGCAUAAUCACUUGGUGCCCAAGUCUCGAUACUUGGCGGCCAAGCAAAGUGCAUAGUUAAAAAUUAAUUAAUGGAUAUUAGGAGUAAUCGCAAUUAAGGGGAGCUCUAUAAAAACCCAACUUUGGGGUGCCUAGAGUUUUGUUGGAUAAAAGAAGUUAAAAAGUGAGCCGAGGAGAAGAAAACAAGUGAAGAAAGUCCGGCAGAAAGAAAGCUUUGGGAGAUUAAAAGGAAAAGAGAAUUAAAACAACUUAAAAGAGAAGAUUGAUUAUCUGGAAGGCGAGAUUGAGUAAUCAACUUAAACUGGAACGUGGUGCACUGGAAGAAUUCUGGAGAAGGAUAUUCAGGCAAGAGUAAAAGUGUGAUGAACCGAAGUGCUAGACUUGAUUGGAUUUGCAAGUAGAAGUUUAGGAGAAGUAUUAUGUAAUCGAAAGAAAUAUUUGUGAACUUUUAGAAGAGUGAUGUAAGACUCUGAUGUAAGGUAAAAUAUGCCUUUAAGUUAUGUUAAAGUUUGAGAUUAUGAAGAUGUAUUUCGGUGUGUUCAGUAGAAUGACACCCCGGGUCGUGUUGCUGAGGUCAUCCCGGGCCGGGGCGUCACAGGUGGUAUCAGAGCUAUAGGUUCGAGAAUCGGCGAAAGUAGGAUUAAGACUCUAGAUUAGUGUGAUUUUAAGUUAGAAAAGUGGUCUAGGGGAUAUAUGGAUCAUAGUUGUGAAUGUGCGGAUAAACUAUGUGUUUAGUACUUACUAUAGCUAGAACCCCCAGAGUAAAAGGGACUGUAGAUCCUGUUGAGGCCAAGAUAUGGCUAAGAGAAAUAAAGAAGACUUUUGAAAUAUUUGGUGCAGAAGAGAAUAAGAAAAUCAUCUUUGAUACUUAUAUGCUUAAUA